Molecule: transfer RNA, 68 nt
Filed under: Crassadoma gigantea
Lineage: Eukaryota; Metazoa; Mollusca; Bivalvia; Pectinida; Pectinidae
Description: tRNA-Thr
Rfam family: tRNA
About the family: Transfer RNA (tRNA) molecules are approximately 80 nucleotides in length.
Source: RNAcentral
CCGUCCUUAGCUCAAGAAGAGCGGCGGUCUUGUAAACCGCGGGUGCAAGUUGUGUCUUGUGGGAUGGU